CACGCCGUAAACGUUGAGAACUAAGUGUUGGGGAGACCCAGUGCUGAAGCUAACGCAUUAAGUUCUCCGCCUGAGGAGUACGCACGCAAGUGUAAAACUUAAAGGAAUUGACGGGGGCCCGCACAAGCAGUGGAGCAUGUGGUUUAAUUCGAAGCAACGCGAAGAACCUUACCAGGUCUUGACAUCCUUAUGCCCGCUCUAGAGAUAGAGUUUUCCCUUCGGGGACAUAAGUGACAGGUGG
Molecule: ribosomal RNA, 241 nt
Filed under: uncultured Bacillota bacterium
Lineage: Bacteria; Bacillati; Bacillota
Description: uncultured Firmicutes bacterium partial 16S ribosomal RNA
Rfam family: Bacterial small subunit ribosomal RNA
Source: RNAcentral